AAUAAAUAAAUGAAAGGAAGAUCAGUAGAAUAGAGGAUCAGGGAGAUGGAGGAAGAGAGUGAAAGGGGAAGUACUAGGGGUUGAAAUGGAACAAAUUAUGUCAUAUGCACUUAGGAAUGUAUCAAAAUGAACCCCACUAUAAUGUAUAGCAAUAAUGCACUAGGAAAAACACUAGAAACAGAUUAAGAAUACAACUCAACCUAUUUUACUAACUUACCCAAAUGAUCUCAUUAAUUAUUGUGGGAAUUUCAGUGGUCACCAUGCUCCAUCAUGUCCCAGAGAAGGAACAUAUUUUGUAGGAUUUCAG
RNAcentral lists this long non-coding RNA (307 nucleotides) under Marmota monax (woodchuck). The record is from RNAcentral. Lineage: Eukaryota; Metazoa; Chordata; Mammalia; Rodentia; Sciuridae.